GAUGAACGCUGGCGGCGUGCCUAAUACAUGCAAGUCGAGCGAACAGACGAGGAGCUUACUCCUCUGACGUUAGCGGCGGACGGGUGAGUAACACGUGGAUAACCUACCUAUAAGACUGGGAUAACUUCGGGAAACCGGAGCUAAUACCGGAUAACAUGUUGAACCGCAUGGUUCAACAGUGAAAGACGGUCUUGCUGUCACUGAUAGAUGGAUCCGCGUCGCAUUAGCUAGUUGGUAAGGUAACGGCUUACCAAGGCAACGAUGCGUAGCCGACCUGAGAGGGUGAUCGGCCACACUGGAACUGAGACACGGUCCAGACUCCUACGGGAGGCAGCAGUAGGGAAUCUUACGCAAUGGGCGAAAGCCUGACGGAGCAACGCCGCGUGAGUGAAGAAGGUCUUCGGAUCGUAAAACUCUGUUAUUAGGGAAGAACAAAUGUGUAAGUAACUAUGCACGUCUUGACGGUACCUAAUCAGAAAGCCACGGCUAACUACGUG
RNAcentral lists this ribosomal RNA (497 nucleotides) under uncultured bacterium. RNAcentral's name for it is "partial 16S ribosomal RNA". It matches the Rfam family "Bacterial small subunit ribosomal RNA", at positions 28 to 507 of the family's 1533-position model. The record is from RNAcentral.